ACGGAGGGUGCAAGCGUUGUUCGGAAUUACUGGGCGUAAAGCGUGUGUAGGCGGCGAUCGUAAGUCGGGUGUGAAAGCCCUGGGCUCAACCCAGGAAUUGCGCCUGAUACUGCGACGCUUGAAUUCGGGAGAGGGGUGUGGAAUUCCUGGUGUAGGGGUGAAAUCCGUAGAGAUCAGGAGGAACACUCGUGGCGAAGGCGACACCCUGGACCGUAAUUGACGCUGAGACACGAAAGCGUGGGGAGCAAACAGG
RNAcentral lists this ribosomal RNA (253 nucleotides) under uncultured bacterium. RNAcentral's name for it is "partial 16S ribosomal RNA". It matches the Rfam family "Bacterial small subunit ribosomal RNA", at positions 525 to 776 of the family's 1533-position model. The record is from RNAcentral.